RNAcentral lists this ribosomal RNA (229 nucleotides) under Bradypodion sp. KTH159. RNAcentral's name for it is "partial 16S ribosomal RNA". It matches the Rfam family "Bacterial large subunit ribosomal RNA", at positions 1914 to 2283 of the family's 2925-position model. The record is from RNAcentral. Lineage: Eukaryota; Metazoa; Chordata; Lepidosauria; Squamata; Chamaeleonidae.
AAAUUCUUAACGGCCGCGGCACUAAAACCGUGCAAAGGUAGCACAAUCACUUGUCCCUUAAAUGAGGACCCGUAUGAAAGGCAACAUGAGAGAAGACCUGUCUCCUAAGGCCAGCCAAUGAAACUGAACUACCAGUACAAAAGCUGGUAUUUACAAGCAAGACAAAAAGACCCUAUGGAACUUUAACAAAUAUUUACAAAACAUAAAUUAUAGUUUCAGUUGGGACAAC